RNAcentral lists this long non-coding RNA (443 nucleotides) under Cyanistes caeruleus (blue tit). RNAcentral describes it as "lncRNA (ENSCCEG00000019385.1)". Lineage: Eukaryota; Metazoa; Chordata; Aves; Passeriformes; Paridae. The record is from RNAcentral.
UGUAGUUCUGGGCUGGCGGUGACGAGAGCGCGCAUGCGUGGCGGCGGUGCCCGGCAGGUGCCUUCGGGGCGGGUCAGCCCGGAGCCGUCAGUGCUCAGCCUCGCUGCAGGUUCACAAAGCGGGAGUCAGUCCCCGGCGUGCUGCGCUGGACUAGGCUGGUUGUUGUUGGAUUCCAAGUAGAUGAAUUGCCGUGGUGCUGUUGUUUCCUCCCGGUGCUUGUGUCGCUGUUCCCUGCGGUUUCGGCCCCCCCUCAGCCUGACUGCUUUGGAGCAAUAGCUGGGCAAGCCGGAGCUGGUCGUGGCAGCUAUGGGGUACAAAUAUGCAUUUACAUAGGUUGUGUUUGGACAGAGAGAGAUGAGAGGCCAGCAGCUGCAAACAGCAGAGACAGUAAUGACAUGGUGGCUUCACAAAACUCAGCUUUGAAGAGUUUGGUGAUGGCCUAG